This 253-nucleotide ribosomal RNA is filed under the name uncultured bacterium. RNAcentral's name for it is "partial 16S ribosomal RNA". It matches the Rfam family "Bacterial small subunit ribosomal RNA", at positions 524 to 776 of the family's 1533-position model. The record is from RNAcentral.
UACGAAGGGGGCUAGCGUUGCUCGGAAUCACUGGGCGUAAAGGGCGCGUAGGCGGUUCGUUAAGUCCUGUGUGAAAUCCCCCGGCUCAACUGGGGAACUGCACAGGAAACUAGCGGGCUUGAGUUCGGGAGAGGGAAGCGGAAUUCCGGGUGUAGCGGUGAAAUGCGUAGAUAUCCGGAGGAACACCGGCGGCGAAGGCGGCUUCCUGGACCGACACUGACGCUGAGGCGCGAAAGCUAGGGGAGCAAACGGG